UAGUAUUUCAUUAGGCUUGACGCAAGACUGGCGUGAAACAACUUCAACUUCUGAAAUUUUCCGCCAAUUUUUAACAUUCAUUGUAAAUCAAAGAACAACUUAUACACAUACAGAAAAGAGACCCCACAAUAACAUCACGAGAGUUAUACAUCCACACUAAAUCACACAUACGUCCCUAAGCUCCUCCGGGCUUGGUCAAGCCUCUAAACCACCCCUUCCCCAGCAGCAUUAGCAACCCUGACAUCCUAGAAACCAUUGUUUAUGUACAUCCAAUUAACUACAUGUCACUUCAUCUCUGGGACAAAUCCUUAUAAACUGCACCAGAGGACAUCACACAAAACUAGCUCGAACAGCUACGACUCCGUAACACCUUAAAUGUUUUAACAUAUAAACGUUCCAUUUAAAACACAAACUUAUGAGUUACAAGCCCAUUACGAUCAAUAGAGAGUAGAGACCUUAGCAACCCACAACCCACAAAUUAAACAUCUCACAUACAAUAAACAAAACUCGAAAAAAUUUUAUUUUUAAGUUUUUGUCACAUAAAUAGUCAUCAAUGAAGAAAAUUAUCAAAAAAAAUUUUAUUAAAGGAUAAAAAUACAUUUAUAUCACAUAAUUAACUAAUCUAAACUUAGGAUUUAGAAUUAAGGGAUGAAGUUUUGAGGGUAUAAUUUCAAAUUUAAAAAAAAAUAAAAAAAAAUAAAAAUUUUAAAAUAAAAAGGACUAUUUGGUCAUUUUCUUUUUUAAAUGCUAUUUUAUGACAAUUUAAAAAAAACUAUCUAAGAAAAUUGCACAAAAAAAACUAACCAUAAACUUGAGACCAUACUUCCAACUUACUCCACAUACUUUGUAUCCCACACUUGUUUGACAAAGAAGACACCCCAAUCUACAUAUAAAAGACGCAAAUAUAGCUCGGCUAUUUUCACCCCUAAUUAACCAUCCGACCACCAUUGUCUUACUGCCCCUGUCUAAUGGUUGCAAAAAUAACUAAUUUCCUUACGCCGUACAAGCACCCCGCCACAUGUUUUUCCACCCACAAAAUACGUAUAUUGCAGACACAACAAUUAGAAGUCCAACUUCUAACCCAAUGCAAAACCACUACACGUCGAGGGACACACAAGCCAAACACAUUUCAUAUAAUACAACACUUUAAAACCAAAUAAAAUCACAGCAAACCACUAGUUAAUAACUUUUUUUUUAAAAAAAGUUAAAGAUUAUAUUUUAAAAAUGUUAUUUGUAUUUU
Molecule: long non-coding RNA, 1240 nt
Filed under: Brassica rapa (field mustard)
Lineage: Eukaryota; Viridiplantae; Streptophyta; Magnoliopsida; Brassicales; Brassicaceae
Description: long non-coding RNA (BRAP_LNC002122)
Source: RNAcentral